GAAGCUCAGGGAGUGUUCCUCCAGGAUACGAGGAAGGGAUAACAAGAGACAGAGAGAAAAGAACUAUUAGUCUGUUGUUACUGAAAUGGUAUCAUAGAAAGCGUCAGAAUGCAACAAGUGCCAUGGAUGGAAAACAGAUCCUUGCUGUUGGCUUGUACUUCAAAUCCAUGACCAAAUAUUACAUAAGAAUUGGAGCUGGUCUAUUAGGGAGAGGGAGAUGACAGCCCGGGAUCCGCCAUGCUGGAGGUGACCCCAGAGUUGCCUUUUAUUACAAUGACCUUUACAAACGACUCAAGUCUUUCAUUCUUCACUUUCUCCAGAUGUGGUUUUGAAGUGUACAGUGACAGCUGAUGCGUUUUUGUGACACUGCUUUGAUUUGUGCUAAGGAACCAGCAGUUUUACCUACCAUUGCUUUUGUGUCAUUAAGGCAAAUAUCAACACUGUGGAAAAGGCAAAUAACAUGCUAGUAUUACUAUGAAAGUUGUUUUGAU
RNAcentral lists this long non-coding RNA (491 nucleotides) under Pan troglodytes (chimpanzee). RNAcentral's name for it is "long non-coding RNA NONPTRT004252". The record is from RNAcentral. Lineage: Eukaryota; Metazoa; Chordata; Mammalia; Primates; Hominidae.